RNAcentral lists this transfer RNA (93 nucleotides) under Leucogyrophana mollusca. Its description in RNAcentral is "tRNA-Tyr". It matches the Rfam family "tRNA". Rfam says of the family: Transfer RNA (tRNA) molecules are approximately 80 nucleotides in length. Their secondary structure includes four short double-helical elements and three loops (D, anti-codon, and T loops). Lineage: Eukaryota; Fungi; Basidiomycota; Agaricomycetes; Boletales. The record is from RNAcentral.
CCGAUCUUAGCUCAGUUGGAAGAGCGCGAGACUGUAAUGGAUAAAAUUCGCUGUGGCAUCUUGAGGUCGCCUGUUCGAGCCAGGCAGAUCGGA